Molecule: ribosomal RNA, 164 nt
Filed under: Muhlenbergia capillipes
Lineage: Eukaryota; Viridiplantae; Streptophyta; Magnoliopsida; Poales; Poaceae
Also listed under: 1 other name
Description: 5.8S ribosomal RNA
Rfam family: 5.8S ribosomal RNA
About the family: 5.8S ribosomal RNA (5.8S rRNA) is a component of the large subunit of the eukaryotic ribosome.
Source: RNAcentral
CACACGACUCUCGGCAACGGAUAUCUCGGCUCUCGCAUCGAUGAAGAACGUAGCAAAAUGCGAUACCUGGUGUGAAUUGCAGAAUCCCGUGAACCAUCGAGUUUUUGAACGCAAGUUGCGCCCGAGGCCUUUUGGUUGAGGGCACGUCUGCCUGGGCGUCACGC